AUGCACGCUGGCGGCGUGCUUAACACAUGCAAGUCGAACGGUGAAGGCGGAGCUUGCUCUGCUGGAUCAGUGGCGAACGGGUGAGUAACACGUGAGCAAUCUGCCCCUGACUCUGGGAUAAGCGCUGGAAACGGCGUCUAAUACUGGAUACGAGCUGCGAAGGCAUCUUCAGCAGCUGGAAAGAAUUUCGGUCAGGGAUGAGCUCGCGGCCUAUCAGCUUGUUGGUGAGGUAAUGGCUCACCAAGGCGUCGACGGGUAGCCGGCCUGAGAGGGUGACCGGCCACACUGGGACUGAGACACGGCCCAGACUCCUACGGGAGGCAGCAGUGGGGAAUAUUGCACAAUGGGCGAAAGCCUGAUGCAGCAACGCCGCGUGAGGGACGACGGCCUUCGGGUUGUAAACCUCUUUUAGCAGGGAAGAAGCGAAAGUGACGGUACCUGCAGAAAAAGCGCCGGCUAACUACGUG
This 467-nucleotide ribosomal RNA is filed under the name uncultured bacterium. RNAcentral describes it as "partial 16S ribosomal RNA". It matches the Rfam family "Bacterial small subunit ribosomal RNA", at positions 29 to 507 of the family's 1533-position model. The record is from RNAcentral.